UACGUAGGGUGCGAGCGUUGUCCGGAAUUACUGGGCGUAAAGAGCUCGUAGGUGGUUUGUCGCGUUGUCCGUGAAAACUCACAACUCAAUUGUGGGCGUGCGGGCGAUACGGGCAGACUGGAGUACUGCAGGGGAGACUGGAAUUCCUGGUGUAGCGGUGGAAUGCGCAGAUAUCAGGAGGAACACCGGUGGCGAAGGCGGGUCUCUGGGCAGUAACUGACGCUGAGGUGCGAAAGCGUGGGGAGCAAACAGG
RNAcentral lists this ribosomal RNA (253 nucleotides) under uncultured bacterium. Its description in RNAcentral is "partial 16S ribosomal RNA". It matches the Rfam family "Bacterial small subunit ribosomal RNA", at positions 524 to 776 of the family's 1533-position model. The record is from RNAcentral.